GCUGCCCCGCUCCCACCGCUCUCCUCCCCCCGCACCCAGCCAGGAGCCGGCGAGAGCCCGAGCGGCACCGGCGCAGGGCUGAGCCCCGGGGCGGAGCUGGCGGCGGGGGAGGGCAGAGCGAAGGAGAGAAGCGGCGCUGGCGGAGCAGAGAGCCGGGGCUGAGGGGGCAGCGAGGCUCGGCCGGCGCCAUGCGGCGGUGCCGGGGCGCGGGGCUGGCGGCGCUGGGCGCGGUGCUGCUCGCUGUGGCUGCCGACACAGACCGAGUGCAGCAGAAGCCGUGGGCAGAGACCACCGAGGGCACCGGCCUGAACCUCACUUGCCUGCACCCCGAAAUUACUGCCGACUCUACCCAGUGGUAUCGCCAAUUCCCAGACCAAGCACCGCAGCUGGUAGCAAUGGCUGUCCGAGGCACAAAAUCCGUGCUGGAGCCAGAGGGGACUCUGUGGGUGUCGGCAGAUCGGCGAUGGAGCGCGCUGUGGCUCGGGCGGCCCCGGCGCGGGGACGCGGCCGUGUAUUACUGCGCGCUGGGCCACGGGCAGAGGAGCCGGGGCUGCGGCCGGGCACGAACCGCCGCGGGCGGGGCCGGGCGGGGCCGGCAGGGGCCGCUCCGCUCCCGGCUGACGCCGCUGGGCGGGACCGGCACCGAGCCGAGCCUGGGACCCGCGGGACCCAGGCCGGGAGCCACCACGGGCCUGGCCUUCCACGAGAGACCCCUCCGAGCUCAAGGAUGCUGCCCUGCAAUGUGUAUAAAGUAA
This is a non-coding RNA of Oenanthe melanoleuca, 755 nucleotides long. The record is from the annotation of a RefSeq genome assembly. NCBI's taxonomy places the organism in Eukaryota, Metazoa, Chordata, Aves, Passeriformes, Muscicapidae.